RNAcentral lists this ribosomal RNA (254 nucleotides) under uncultured bacterium. RNAcentral's name for it is "partial 16S ribosomal RNA". It matches the Rfam family "Bacterial small subunit ribosomal RNA", at positions 524 to 776 of the family's 1533-position model. The record is from RNAcentral.
UACGUAGGGUGCGAGCGUUGUCCGGAAUUAUUGGGCGUAAAGAGCUCGUAGGCGGCUUGUUGCGUCGACUGUGAAAACCCCGCGGCUUAACUGCGGGCUUGCAGUUGAUACGGGCAGGCUAGAGUUCGGUAGGGGAGACUGGAAUUCCUGGUGUAGCGGUGAAAUGCGCAGAUAUCAGGAGGAACACCGGUGGCGAAGGCGGGUCUCUGGGCCGAUACUGACGCUGAGGAGCGAAAGCGUGGGGAGCGAACAGG